This 1235-nucleotide ribosomal RNA is filed under the name metagenome. RNAcentral describes it as "bacterial LSU rRNA". It matches the Rfam family "Bacterial large subunit ribosomal RNA", at positions 1564 to 2808 of the family's 2925-position model. The record is from RNAcentral.
GUAGUACGAGAUGCUACGGCAUCGAAGCAGUCUAUGUCAUACUUCCAAGAAAAGCUUGCAAUGUCAUAAACAAAUAAUGCCUGUACCAUAACCGACACAGGUGGGUAGGUAGAGUAUACUAAGGGGCGCGAGAUAGCUCUCUCUAAGGAACUCGGCAAAAUGACUCCGUAACUUCGGGAGAAGGAGUGCCUUAUUUUUAUAAGGUUGCAAUAACAAGAUCCAAGCAACUGUUUACCAAAAACACAGGUCUCCGCUAAGUCGUAAGACGAUGUAUGGGGGCUGACGCCUGCCCAGUGCCAGAAGGUUAAAGAAGUUGGUUAGCAUUAGCGAAGCUGAUAACUGAAGCCCUGGUGAACGGCGGCCGUAACCAUAACGGUCCUAAGGUAGCGAAAUUCCUUGUCGGGUAAGUUCCGACCCCCACGAAAGGCGUAAUGAUUUGGAUACUGUCUCGGAGAGGGGCUCGGUGAAAUAGACUUGUCUGUGAAGAUGCGGACUACCUGCACCUGGACAGAAAGACCCUAUGAAGCUUUACUGUAACUUGAGAUUGAAAUUGGACUUUAUCUGCCAGUAUAGGUGGGAGACGUUGAAAAUAUUCUUGCGGGAAUAUUGGAGUCAUCAGUGAGAUACCACUCUUAUAAUGUUAGAUUUCUAACUUUGUAUCAUUAUCUGGUCAAAGAACAGUUUCAGGCGGGCAGUUUGACUGGGGCGGUCGCCUCCCAAACGGUAACGGAGGCGCACAAAGGUUUCCUCUGAACGUGUAGAAAUCGUAUCUAGAGUGUAAAGGCAUAAGGAAGCUUGACUGUGAGACCUACGAGUCGAGCAGGGACGAAAGUCGGUCUUAGUGAUCUGACGGUGCUGAGUGGAAAGGCCGUCACUCAACGGAUAAAAGUUACUCUAGGAUAACAGGCUGAUCUCCCCCAAGAGUUCACAUCGACGGGGAGGUUUGGCACCUCGAUGUCGGCUCAUCGCAUCCUGGGGCGGUAGUACGUCCCAAGGGUUGGGCUGUUCGCCCAUGAAAGCGGUACGCGAGCUGGGUUCAGAACGUCGUGAGACAGUUCGGUCCAUAUCCGGUGUAGGCGUUAGAAUAUUGAGAGGAGCCUUCUUUAGUACGAGAGGACCGAGAAGGACAUACCUCUGGUGUACCAGUUAUCGUGCCAACGGUAAACGCUGGGUAGCCAUGUAUGGAGAGGAUAACCGCUGAAAGCAUCUAAGUGGGAAGCCCACCUCAAGAUAAG